GGAGUUUGGACCGUGUCUCAGUUCCAAUGUGGGGGACCUUCCUCUCAGAACCCCUACUGAUCGUCGACUAGGUGGGCCGUUACCCCGCCUACUAUCUAAUCAGACGCAUCCCCAUCCUAUACCGGUAAACCUUUGUUCCAAAUUGAAUGCUCGCUUCGGAAAACAUAGGGUAUUAAUCCGACUUUCGCCGGGCUAUCCCCUAGUACAGGGAAGGUUGGAUACGCGUUACUCACCCGUGCGCCGGUCGCCAUCAAUCUUAGCAAGCUAAGAUCAUGCUGCCCCUCGACUUGCAUGUGUUAAGCCUGUAGCUAGCGUUCAUC
This 320-nucleotide ribosomal RNA is filed under the name uncultured Prevotella sp. RNAcentral describes it as "partial 16S ribosomal RNA". Lineage: Bacteria; Pseudomonadati; Bacteroidota; Bacteroidia; Bacteroidales; Prevotellaceae. The record is from RNAcentral.